Molecule: ribosomal RNA, 398 nt
Filed under: Rhyncogonus longulus
Lineage: Eukaryota; Metazoa; Arthropoda; Insecta; Coleoptera; Curculionidae
Description: partial 16S ribosomal RNA
Rfam family: Archaeal large subunit ribosomal RNA
Source: RNAcentral
AACCUGCCCACUGAGGAUUUAAAUGGCCGCGGUAUUUUGACCGUGCAAAGGUAGCAUAAUAAUUAGUUUUUUAAUUGAAAGCUGGAAUGAAAGGUUGGAUGAGAAAAUAACUGUCUCUAUUUAGAUUAAUUAGAAUUUUAUUUUUAAGUAAAAAAGCUUAAAUAAAAAUAGAAGACGAGAAGACCCUAUAGAGUUUUAAUUUAGUUGGGGUGAUUGAAAAAUUUAAUAAACUUUUUUUUUAUUUAACCAUUAAUUUAUGAAUAGUUGAUCCUUUUUUUAAGAUUAAAAGUAAAAAUUACCUUAGGGAUAACAGCGUAAUUUUUUUAGAGAGUUCAAAUCGAAAGAAAAGAUUGCGACCUCGAUGUUGGAUUAAAAUUAAGUCUUGGUGUAGAAGCUAA